CUUAAUUGGGCGUUAAGUUGCAGGGUAUAGACCCGAAACCCGGUGAUCUAGCCAUGGGCAGGUUGAAGGUUGGGUAACACUAACUGGAGGACCGAACCGACUAAUGUUGAAAAAUUAGCGGAUGACCUGUGGCUGGGGGUGAAAGGCCAAUCAAACCGGGAGAUAGCUGGUUCUCCCCGAAAGCUAUUUAGGUAGCGCCUCGUGAAUUCAUCUCCGGGGGUAGAGCACUGUUUCGGCUAGGGGGCCAUCCCGGCUUACCAACCCGAUGCAAACUGCGAAUACCGGAGAAUGUUAUCACGGGAGACACACGGCGGGUGCUAACGUCCGUCGUGAAGAGGGAAACAACCCAGACCGCCAGCUAAGGUCCCAAAGUCAUGGUUAAGUGGGAAACGAUGUGGGAAGGCCCAGACAGCCAGGAUGUUGGCUUAGAAGCAGCCAUCAUUUAAAGAAAGCGUAAUAGCUCACUGGUCGAGUCGGCCUGCGCGGAAGAUGUAACGGGGCUAAACCAUGCACCGAAGCUGCGGCAGCGACACUCAGGUGUUGUUGGGUAGGGGAGCGUUCUGUAAGCCUGUGAAGGUGGCCUGUGAGGGUUGCUGGAGGUAUCAGAAGUGCGAAUGCUGACAUAAGUAACGAUAAAGCGGGUGAAAAGCCCGCUCGCCGGAAGACCAAGGGUUCCUGUCCAACGUUAAUCGGGGCAGGGUGAGUCGACCCCUAAGGCGAGGCCGAAAGGCGUAGUCGAUGGGAAACGGGUUAAUAUUCCCGUACUUGGUGUUACUGCGAAGGGGGGACGGAGAAGGCUAUGUUGGCCGGGCGACGGUUGUCCCGGUUUAAGCGUGUAGGUGUGUGUUCCAGGUAAAUCCGGUUCACUUUAACACUGAGGCGUGACGACGAGGCACUACGGUGCUGAAGCAACAAAUGCCCUGCUUCCAGGAAAAGCCUCUAAGCAUCAGGUAACAUCAAAUCGUACCCCAAACCGACACAGGUGGUCAGGUAGAGAAUACCAAGGCGCUUGAGAGAACUCGGGUGAAGGAACUAGGCAAAAUGGUGCCGUAACUUCGGGAGAAGGCACGCUGACACGUAGGUGAAGUGAUUUACUCAUGGAGCUGAAGUCAGUCGAAGAUACCAGCUGGCUGCAACUGUUUAUUAAAAACACAGCACUGUGCAAACACGAAAGUGGACGUAUACGGUGUGACGCCUGCCCGGUGCCGGAAGGUUAAUUGAUGGGGUCAGCGCAAGCGAAGCUCCUGAUCGAAGCCCCGGUAAACGGCGGCCGUAACUAUAACGGUCCUAAGGUAGCGAAAUUCCUUGUCGGGUAAGUUCCGACCUGCACGAAUGGCGUAAUGAUGGCCAGGCUGUCUCCACCCGAGACUCAGUGAAAUUGAACUCGCUGUGAAGAUGCAGUGUACCCGCGGCAAGACGGAAAGACCCCGUGAACCUUUACUAUAGCUUGACACUGAACAUUGAGCCUUGAUGUGUAGGAUAGGUGGGAGGCUUUGAAGUGUGGACGCCAGUCUGCAUGGAGCCGACCUUGAAAUACCACCCUUUAAUGUUUGAUGUUCUAACGUGGACCCGUAAUCCGGGUUGCGGACAGUGUCUGGUGGGUAGUUUGACUGGGGCGGUCUCCUCCUAAAGAGUAACGGAGGAGCACGAAGGUUGGCUAAUCCUGGUCGGACAUCAGGAGGUUAGUGCAAUGGCAUAAGCCAGCUUGACUGCGAGCGUGACGGCGCGAGCAGGUGCGAAAGCAGGUCAUAGUGAUCCGGUGGUUCUGAAUGGAAGGGCCAUCGCUCAACGGAUAAAAGGUACUCCGGGGAUAACAGGCUGAUACCGCCCAAGAGUUCAUAUCGACGGCGGUGUUUGGCACCUCGAUGUCGGCUCAUCACAUCCUGGGGCUGAAGUAGGUCCCAAGGGUAUGGCUGUUCGCCAUUUAAAGUGGUACGCGAGCUGGGUUUAGAACGUCGUGAGACAGUUCGGUCCCUAUCUGCCGUGGGCGCUGGAGAACUGAGGGGGGCUGCUCCUAGUACGAGAGGACCGGAGUGGACGCAUCACUGGUGUUCGGGUUGUCAUGCCAAUGGCACUGCCCGGUAGCUAAAUGCGGAAGAGAUAAGUGCUGAAAGCAUCUAAGCACGAAACUUGCCCCGA
This 2139-nucleotide ribosomal RNA is filed under the name Salmonella enterica subsp. enterica. RNAcentral's name for it is "partial 23S ribosomal RNA". It matches the Rfam family "Bacterial large subunit ribosomal RNA", at positions 683 to 2802 of the family's 2925-position model. The record is from RNAcentral. Lineage: Bacteria; Pseudomonadati; Pseudomonadota; Gammaproteobacteria; Enterobacterales; Enterobacteriaceae.